Molecule: ribosomal RNA, 251 nt
Filed under: uncultured prokaryote
Description: partial 16S ribosomal RNA
Rfam family: Bacterial small subunit ribosomal RNA
Source: RNAcentral
UACGGAGGAUGCAAGCGUUAUCCGGAUUCAUUGGGUUUAAAGGGUGCGCAGGCGGGGGAAUAAGUCAGUGGUGAAAAACUGCCGCUCAACGGUAGUCUUGCCAUUGAUACUGUCUUUCUUGAGUAUGGAUGAGGUAGGCGGAAUGUGCAGUGUAGCGGUGAAAUGCAUAGAUAUUGCACGGAACACCAAUUGCGAAGGCAGCUUACUGGACCAUUACUGACGCUCAGGCACGAAAGCGUGGGGAUCAAACA